This 497-nucleotide ribosomal RNA is filed under the name uncultured bacterium. RNAcentral's name for it is "partial 16S ribosomal RNA". It matches the Rfam family "Bacterial small subunit ribosomal RNA", at positions 28 to 507 of the family's 1533-position model. The record is from RNAcentral.
GAUGAACGCUGGCGGCGUGCCUAAUACAUGCCAGUCGAGCGAACAGACGAGGAGCUUGCUCCUCUGACGUUAGCGGCGGACGGGUGAGUAACACGUGGAUAACCUACCUAUAAGACUGGGAUAACUUCGGGAAACCGGAGCUAAUACCGGAUAAUAUAUUGAACCGCAUGGUUCAAUAGUGAAAGACGGUUUUGCUGUCACUUAUAGAUGGAUCCGCGCCGCAUUAGCUAGUUGGUAAGGUAACGGCUUACCAAGGCAACGAUGCGUAGCCGACCUGAGAGGGUGAUCGGCCACACUGGAACUGAGACACGGUCCAGACUCCUACGGGAGACAGCAGUAGGGAAUCUUCCGCAAUGGGCGAAAGCUUGACGGAGCAACGCCGCGUGAGUGAUGAAGGUCUUCGGAUCGUAAAACUCUGUUAUUAGGGAAGAACAAAUGUGUAAGUAACUAUGCACGUCUUGACGGUACCUAAUCAGAAAGCCACGGCUAACUACGUG